Molecule: ribosomal RNA, 250 nt
Filed under: uncultured prokaryote
Description: partial 16S ribosomal RNA
Rfam family: Bacterial small subunit ribosomal RNA
Source: RNAcentral
UACAGAGGUCCCUAGCGUUGUUCGGAUUUAUUGGGUUUAAAGGGAGCGCAGGCGGAAGAUUAAGCGUGACGUGAAAUGUCCCGGCUCAACCGUGGAACUGCGUCGCGAACUGGUUUUCUUGAGUGAGUACGACGGAGGCGGAAUUCGUGGUGUAGCGGUGAAAUGCUUAGAUAUCACGAAGAACCCCGAUUGCGAAGGCAGCCUCCGAGUCCUUAACUGGCGCUAAAGCUCGAAAGUGCGGGUAUCGAAC